AGGGUUGUUGCUCAGGGGUAGAGUACUUGCCUAGCAAGUAUGAGGCACUGGGUUCAAUUCUCAGCACAUUUA
This 72-nucleotide transfer RNA is filed under the name Marmota monax (woodchuck). It matches the Rfam family "tRNA". Rfam says of the family: Transfer RNA (tRNA) molecules are approximately 80 nucleotides in length. The record is from Rfam by way of RNAcentral. Lineage: Eukaryota; Metazoa; Chordata; Mammalia; Rodentia; Sciuridae.